This 69-nucleotide transfer RNA is filed under the name Bolivaritettix lativertex. Its description in RNAcentral is "tRNA-Ser". Lineage: Eukaryota; Metazoa; Arthropoda; Insecta; Orthoptera; Tetrigidae. The record is from RNAcentral. RNAcentral also lists the same sequence under 1 other name.
AGAAAUAUAUUGCCAGUAUUAAAGCCGCUAACUUUUAAUAAUAGCGGUUUAACUCCGUUAGUAUUUCUA